UGCAAAUGAUGUUUUUUCUCACGAUGGUCUUCCAAGCCCUUUGGGUUCUGACGACAGUGCCUAAUGGCAAUGCUGAUGCAGUGAA
Small nucleolar RNA from Mola mola (ocean sunfish), 85 nucleotides. The record is from Ensembl. Lineage: Eukaryota; Metazoa; Chordata; Actinopteri; Tetraodontiformes; Molidae.